Molecule: small RNA, 28 nt
Filed under: Bombyx mori (domestic silkworm)
Lineage: Eukaryota; Metazoa; Arthropoda; Insecta; Lepidoptera; Bombycidae
Description: ovarian small RNA-11834
Source: RNAcentral
AGACCAGAGAACUUCCCUGUGCCGCGAA